CCCGCUCAGAAACUCAAUGAAUUGACGGGGCCCGCACAAGCGGUGGAGCAUGUGGUUUAAUUCGAUGAUACGCGAGGAACCUUACCUGGGCUCAAAUGUAUGUUGACGUAUUCUGAAAGGGAUACUUCUUCGGACAAUAUACAAGGUGCUGCAUGGUUGUCGUCAGCUCGUGCCGUGAGGUGUCGGGUUAAGUCCCAUAACGAGCGCAACCCCUAUCAUUAGUUGCCAUCAGGUCAAGCUGGGGACUCUAAUGAAACUGCCUACGCAAGUAGUGAGGAAGGUGGGGAUGACGUCAAAUCAGCACGGCCCUUACGUCCAGGGCUACACACGUGCUACAAUGGCCGGUACAAAGGGCAGCUACCUGGUGACAGGAUGCUAAUCUCAAAAGCCGGUCUCAGUUCGGAUCGGAGUCUGCAACCCGACUCCGUGAAGCUGGAUUCGCUAGUAAUCGCGCAUCAGCCACGGCGCGGUGAAUACGUUCCCGGGCCUU
RNAcentral lists this ribosomal RNA (490 nucleotides) under uncultured Sphingobacteriales bacterium. RNAcentral describes it as "bacterial SSU rRNA". It matches the Rfam family "Bacterial small subunit ribosomal RNA", at positions 904 to 1382 of the family's 1533-position model. The record is from RNAcentral. Lineage: Bacteria; Pseudomonadati; Bacteroidota; Sphingobacteriia; Sphingobacteriales.